UUCCGCAAUGGGCGAAAGCCUGACGGAGCAAUACCGCGUGAGGGAUGACGGCCUAUGGGUUGUAAACCUCUUUUUUUCAGGGAGGAAUCAAUGACGUGUACCUGAAGAAUAAGCAUCGGCUAACUCCGUGCCAGCAGCCGCGGUAAUACGGAGGGGGCUAGCGUUGUUCGGAAUUACUGGGCGUAAAGCGCACGUAGGCGGAUCAGUCAGUCAGAGGUGAAAUCCCGGAGCUCAACUUCGGAACUGCCUUUGAUACUGCUGAUCUAGAGUCCGGGAGAGGUGCAUGGAAUUCCGAGUGUAGAGGUGAAAUUCGUAGAUAUUCGGAGGAACACCAGAGGCGAAGGCGAUGCACUGGACCGGUACUGACGCUGAGGUGCGAAAGCGUGG
RNAcentral lists this ribosomal RNA (387 nucleotides) under uncultured Dinobryon. RNAcentral describes it as "partial Bacterial small subunit ribosomal RNA". It matches the Rfam family "Bacterial small subunit ribosomal RNA", at positions 364 to 764 of the family's 1533-position model. Lineage: Eukaryota; Chrysophyceae; Chromulinales. The record is from RNAcentral.